CCUACGGGAGGCAGCAGUGGGGAAUAUUGGACAAUGGGCGAAAGCCUGAUCCAGCCAUGCCGCGUGUGUGAAGAAGGCCUUCGGGUUGUAAAGCACUUUCAGUGGGGAAGAAAGCCUUGGGGCUAAUACCCUCGAGGAAGGACAUCACCCACAGAAGAAGCACCGGCUAACUCCGUGCCAGCAGCCGCGGUAAUACGGAGGGUGCGAGCGUUAAUCGGAAUUACUGGGCGUAAAGCGCGCGUAGGCGGUCUGAUAAGCCGGUUGUGAAAGCCCCGGGCUCAACCUGGGAACGGCAUCCGGAACUGUCAGGCUAGAGUGCAGGAGAGGAAGGUAGAAUUCCCGGUGUAGCGGUGAAAUGCGUAGAGAUCGGGAGGAAUACCAGUGGCGAAGGCGGCCUUCUGGACUGACACUGACGCUGAGGUGCGAAAGCGUGGAUAGCAAACAGGAUUAGAUACCCUUGUAGUC
Molecule: ribosomal RNA, 465 nt
Filed under: Vreelandella stevensii
Lineage: Bacteria; Pseudomonadati; Pseudomonadota; Gammaproteobacteria; Oceanospirillales; Halomonadaceae
Description: partial 16S ribosomal RNA
Rfam family: Bacterial small subunit ribosomal RNA
Source: RNAcentral